GGGCCAGAGUGACUCACUGGGCUCCCACCUGGGGUCAGACUUGGGGAGGGUGGCAGAUCCUCGGCCAACAAGGCUCCUGCUCGCCCUUCAGUCCUAGAUGCAGCCAUCUAGGACCAUUCUUGGAGCCAGGGAGGAAGGGCCAAACACCAGUUGGGGAACCCCCGAGGAGCGGUAGGGAAACUGGAGACUUAGAAGAAGCUAAUGGGGUCGUCGUAGUAGUACGUAUCCAAAAUCUACCAGAACAAACAAGCUGCGAGCAGCAGGGAGCCAGAGAAGGGGCUGGACCAGGGGCUUUCAGUGAUCUUUCCAUCCCGGAAUCUCCGAGAGCACUGGAGAGAGCCGAACCGGGAUUUCCAAGGGCUCUGAUGACUCACUGCCCCACACGGCCCGGGGAUACGAGCCUCCUCACGGCUGCCGAGGCCUUAGAGGGCUUCCAGAGAGGGUUUGAGCCCGAGAGUGGGGCCACGCCGUCCACAGAUGGUGGAGAACACGAGGGAGGGGAUGGUCCGCUUGCCUACGCUCCCUGUGCACCUUCCUCGCGGGCAUGCGCACACGGGUCCGUCGCAGUUCGCUUCCCGGCUAAGCCACAGUUCUCUCUACCCUGACAAGUUUGCUCUUCCCUCCGUUCCACGCCUGCACUCACUUUGCUAAAGGCGCGAGUGCCAGGUUCCAGUGACCCCUGACUCUAGGCGGGAAGGGGGGUCUGCUAACCUGAUGUCCGGGUAGCUCCGUAUAAGUGUUUCCAGGUGCCGCCGGAUGUCGUCUUUGUAUGUCUCGCCCAGGAUCUCAGCCACGGACAGGAUGGCUUGGUCCAGCCACUUGGCUUCAGAGCCCUAAGGAAACAAGGAGAUAUGUGCGUGGUCCAUCUCCCCCAAGGAGUCCCUGCCUACAACCUCUCCUGUCGUGCCCAGAAACACCCCUCCCGUGUGUCCGCAGCGGGUGGCUUGCCCAUAAGAAGAUUCCACGGAGUCAGGGAAUAAGAUUCCACAGAGUGGACAUCUGCAAUGAUUCUGGAGAGUUUUCUUCCUGUCUGCACAGACGGAAAUCCGAGCCCUGACCAGGAGAGUGCUGAUUGGAACCUGUCACCAGUAGGAGGCCAGCAACCCAGAUAAGGGGCUUGGGCUGAAAGUGCUUCGGAAAGAUCUCCCACAGACCUUGCCCAUCAUAACCCUCAUUCCUUUUUUGCCUUCACCCACAAAUACAAUGUAAAGUGAAACUCCCACCUGGGCCCACCCCUUUAGAGUCCAGCCCCAUUGCCAUUUUCCCUGUGGAGUCUGAAGAACCGCCUAGUGGAAGCUCUCUUCUCCUGCACCCGCUGUGAGGGCUCUUUACAGAAUGAAAACAACAGAAUAGGGGGGUUCCUGGCUGGGUUUGCUGGCCAGAGACUGAGCCAGCUUGACAUUCAGACACAGCUCCUACCAAGCCCUGGAAGGUGUUGCUGAUGGCCUGGGCAUCCAGGUUCAUCUUACUGGAGCCCUUCAAUCGAUCCUGGCCACUGAACCUCUCGUGGGGCCUCAGCACCUGCCCCAGGUAUUCUCGGACCACAAAACGGUGCACCUCCUGCAGCGUCUCCUGGGAAAGGGAGAUGGCAGGGUCAGGAUCAAAGCCAUGGACAGCCCUGCACACCCAUGCCAGCCACCCACUUCCUGGUACCUGUGCCAGUGGUGGGGUCACAUGCUCAAGGUGAUGUGCAAAGUCCACCACCUUGUCCAUGAGGGGACGAAGUGUGUCCUGUGUGAGCCAGCUCUUGGUAUAUAGCACCUUGAAUAGAGGCUGGGGACAGAAGGGCAUGGGAAGUGAGCUCUGUUCACCAUUCCCAACCCCCUUCACUUCUGGGCCCCCUUGUGCAGCCCUCUUUUCUAGGCACAGAUUUUAUCACUAGGUCUUUCUCAUAAUGCCUCCUCCAAUGGGCAUGGUAGAGUCUGCGAGUCUUGUCAGGCCCUGCUUACGGUGUGUGCUGGGUACACCUUGAGUGUCUGGUCAAGGGGCUUUAAGGCCUUAUUUCUUGGCCCACCAUCCCAGAGCUUGGGUGUUGAUCCCUGAGCGGAAGGAGCAGCAGUGGGUUGGUGGGUGCUUCCCAACCACCCUUGCUCAGGGAGAACUCUUGGAGGGCAAAGGAAAGUGUCCAGUUCACCUGCAUGUCUUGCUGUACAAUCUGGAGCAAAUGUUUCUGGAAGCUAUUGGUGGCAGUCACCAGGGGUCUCUCCAGUUCCUUUAUGGUUCCUGGGAACCUGGCCAGAAGACUGGUUCUGGGGAGGGGCCAAGACAAGGAGUAAGCUGGGGCACAGGAAAACAGGCAGAGGAGCAAGACCCCCUCCCUCAGGGCACACCCCUGAAGGCUGGGCACAGAACUGGUCUGCCUCUGCUCAUUUUCCAGCAGUUCUUUUUCUUCACAACACGCUGCGACCCUUUAAUACCGUUCUUCGUGUUGUGGUGACCCCCCAACCAUAACAUUAUUUUAGUUGCUUCUUCAUAACUGUAAUGAAGCGCGAUGCAGACACCUGAUAUGCAGGAUAUCUGAUGCCUCUGUGGAAGGGGUCGGGACCCACAGGUUGAGAAUCCCUGGUUUGGCUUGUAUUGUCCCUGGAGUUGUGCAAAGUAGCACCCAGGGACAGAACUGAAUAAAAGGACAACAUCAAAGCCCUGAGACCCAAUCAUUAACUCUGGCAGCAGGGUGGCAGGGUGGCAGCUUUGGUCCCGUCUGGCAGCUUUGAGUCAGACCUUCAUGCCUCCUGGUGAUGGGACAUUGUAGCAUAGCCAUGCCGGGCAGAAACUCUCCACUGAGCUUCAUCCCUGCCUUUGAGGAUGACAAUGUUCCAUUGGACAGGCAGGCCUGGUCCAACUCCUAGCUGCAUGGGUUGCUGGUUGCACCAGCAUCCACUUGCCCACCUGUACCAGGGUACCCUAGGCUUGGGAAGUCACACUGGGUGGAUUAAGCAGGCACAUAGUGUAUCACAGUGCUCAUAAAGAGUGCUCAUAUGAGGGGGCUGAUGAGAUGGCUCAGUGGGUAAGAUUGCUCUUCUAAAGAUCCUGAGUUUAAUUCCUAGCAACCACAUGGUAGCUCACAACCAUCUGUAAUGAGAUCUGAUGCCCUCUUCUGGUGCAUCUGAAGACAGCUACAGUGUACUUAUUUUAAUAAUAAAUAAAUCUUUGGGUCAGAGGGAGCAGGGUUGACUAGACCAGAGCAAGCAGGGUUGACCUGAGCGAGCAGAGGUCCUAAAUUCAAUUCCCAACAACCAGAUGAAGGCUCACAACCAUCUGUACAGCUACAGUGUGCACUUAUAUACAUAAAAGAAAUAAAU
RNAcentral lists this long non-coding RNA (3302 nucleotides) under Mus pahari (shrew mouse). Its description in RNAcentral is "predicted gene 10425 (MGP_PahariEiJ_G0006367.1)". Lineage: Eukaryota; Metazoa; Chordata; Mammalia; Rodentia; Muridae. The record is from RNAcentral.